Long non-coding RNA from Papilio polytes (common Mormon), 672 nucleotides. RefSeq lists it as uncharacterized. The record is from RefSeq and is a predicted model, not a curated record. The transcript is spliced from 3 exons. NCBI's taxonomy places the organism in Eukaryota, Metazoa, Arthropoda, Insecta, Lepidoptera, Papilionidae.
ACUAGUGACGUGAAAUAACGCUCACGUCUACUUAUGAGUAUAUAUCUAUAACACGAAGGUUCGUAAUUUGCUAAAAACAAACAGUUUGGCUUAAAAGACAUUGAUAUGACCAUUUCCUGUAGAUGAAUUUUCGAAGAUUAAGUGCGGAUGAAGUGAAUACUAUCAACACUUAAUCUAUGGAUGCACAGAAAUAGAUAUUGGAUAAAGACUGUCAUUCAUCAGUCAUCAUUCUAAAUAUUUUCAAAAUAAUUAAAUGUAUUCUAGAAGGUUGAUUACUAUAAUUGAUAGCUGAAUAUAAAAGUAAAUAGCUUAAAUUAAUAACAAGAAACAACAAAAUUACCAUAUACAACUUCCUGACAUCUACUAAAUGCUUCAUGGAAGAUUGGAUGCACCUCUUUGAAAGCUUAUAAAGUUUUCCAAAUAAGUGUUGAAUGAAGAAUCCGCCCAAGCAACACGAGCUGGUGCUGCAGCUGCGGCAGUGUCCCCGCGACAUCCGUGCUCCGCCACUGCCUCUACAGACAAUUGCGAUACUUUGAAAUAGUUUUACUUGUAGUUAGUAUAAAUAAGAAUAAUUUGACAAUUUGAGCAUAGAUUGAGCAAAAUGGUAUUGUAAUUGGUUAAGAAUCUUUUCGAUUAUCGAUUUUUAUAACAAGAUAGAAAUCAAUAAAAACG